AGCUCAGAGGUUAAGAGCACUGGCUAUUCUUCCAGAGAUCCUGGGUUCAAUUCCCAG
RNAcentral lists this transfer RNA (57 nucleotides) under Cricetulus griseus (Chinese hamster). It matches the Rfam family "tRNA", at positions 9 to 63 of the family's 71-position model. Rfam says of the family: Transfer RNA (tRNA) molecules are approximately 80 nucleotides in length. The record is from Rfam by way of RNAcentral. Lineage: Eukaryota; Metazoa; Chordata; Mammalia; Rodentia; Cricetidae.